GUGAACACAGCUGGUGGUAUC
Molecule: microRNA, 21 nt
Filed under: Cordylochernes scorpioides
Lineage: Eukaryota; Metazoa; Arthropoda; Arachnida; Pseudoscorpiones; Chernetidae
Source: RNAcentral